Molecule: long non-coding RNA, 1731 nt
Organism: Marmota monax (woodchuck)
Lineage: Eukaryota; Metazoa; Chordata; Mammalia; Rodentia; Sciuridae
Exons: 3
Source: RefSeq, a predicted model, not a curated record
AGGUAUCCCUGUUAAGAACUCAGAAGGGUAGAGGGAAAAUUACUUUUUCUCCCCUGCAUUACAUAUUUCAAGUGAACAGAGUCUCUCUCUGCUAUCUGAUUAUUAUGUGAGCCUCUUCCCGCUGCCACACUCAUCUACCAUGAUGUUCUGCCUCACCUUGAGCCACGGAGGAAUGAAGUCGACCAUCUGUGGACUGAAAUCUCUGAAACUAAAACCCACUAAUCAUUAUUGUGUGAAGCACACCUCCUCUAAGAGGAAAUAUUCAUUAGAAGGUAAGUUUUAUCUCAAUUAGCAGAGUGGUUGUUUUAUGACUCAAUCAAUAAAUUCAAAUGCACCAUUUAAAUCAAUCAAAACACAAUUUGUGCAUCAGAAUAUAUACAUUUCUGAUGCAUUAGCUUAAUUUAAAGGAGCAUGAAAUUCCAUAAAGAUCAAGGGGUAGAUAAAAAUUGUCAUUGUUUACAUAGAGAAAGCAGACAUAUAUACUGUGUAAUAAAAGGUAAAAAACAUAAAUAGCUCUCAAUAUGAGAAGACUAUAGCUCUAUUUUUUCAGGAACUUUAUACCAGUCCACCAUCUCUCCCCCUAUCUGGAUAUAAUGAUGAGAGCAUUUUGGAGGAAUAUUUAACUAAGUGGAAUCUCAUCAGGAAGCACUUCAAAGAAGUGCUUUUUAAUGUUCAAAUAUAAAUGUACUUUGAUGACCUUCCUUUUAUCAAGUCCACUAUUAAAAUGCUUUCCUAAUACUUCCUUCCCCCAAAGCCUGGGCUGGUUAAUCAUAUGAUCUCUUUGAAUCACCUUUGAUCCUCCAGGCUGAUUAAAACUAAAUUUGAAAAGAGUAUAUACAAAGGCAUUGAGGCAAGUUUGACCUUGGCAAAAUUAUAAACUACAUAAAGAUAGGUUUCAAUGUCGCACCAUCUGAGUGUCAUUUUCUGUUUUAACUUAUUGAUUCUGCUGUUAUUACUUAUGCUACUCAUCACUUCUUUGUACUUUUGUAAGCUUAUGGUAACUUUCUACGAAGGUUACCUAGCUCAGAUAACAUGAAAUGUGUAAGGACACAGAGCUUUUAGAAAACGAUUACUCAUAUUUUUGCUUCACUGUGUAUUAGUGGUGUGACCCUGAGCUAUUCUGUUUGAACUUCAAUACAAUCAUCACUCAUGAAAUGCUGGGAAAAAAAAUCUAUGAUGCCACAUAGGAGUUUGAUGGAUUCAACUUAUAUUGUAUGUCGAUAUUUCCUUCAUAUACAAUACCAUGUAAGUUAGUAUACAGUUACAUUUAAGGUGAUAAAGUUUUUCACUGAAGAAACUAAUUGUACAUAUAAACCACUUUUUCCUUUUUUAUUAUUAUAUUCUGUGAAUAACUUGGUUUGGAAAUCCAAGACUCAACUGACUUGAAAGUCUUCCAGUUAUAUUAAACAGAUCUACUAUGCACAAAAAGGACAGUUAAGAAACAUAUUUUGAUUAGAAAAUGAGUAAACUUAAUUAAAUGAGCAAGACACACAAUUUCAAGAAUUUUCAGCAACCUGCAUGUGAAGUUUUCUUAAUGGAAAAAGUUCUUAAAGUAUUUCUCUUUUCUAUUCCCAAUGGAAAAUAAACUCCAAACUCACUGAUUUUCAUGUUUGUGGAUGAAUAGGAGAAAUAUCCUAGUAUCAAAUAAGUAAACUGAACAUUGAUAUUUAUAAAAUAAUAUUAUCCUUAUAAUACCUUGGAAAUGCCUAUUUAGUAUUCCAAAAAUUAUCA